AAUGGGCGCAAGCCUGAUCCAGCCAUGCCGCGUGCAGGAUGAAUGCCCUAUGGGUUGUAAACUGCUUUUAUACGGGAAUAAACCCGGGUACGUGUACCCGGCUGAAUGUACCGUAAGAAUAAGGGUCGGCUAACUUCGUGCCAGCAGCCGCGGUAAGACGAAGGACCCAAGCGUUAUCCGGAUUCAUUGGGUUUAAAGGGUGCGUAGGCGGGUUGAUAAGUCAGUGGUGAAAGCCCAACGCUUAACGUUGGAACUGCCAUUGAUACUGUCGAUCUUGAAUGUGUUUGAUGUGGGCGGAAUAUGACAUGUAGCGGUGAAAUGCUUAGAUAUGUCAUAGAACACCGAUUGCGAAGGCAGCUCACAAAACCACUAUUGACGCUGAGGCACGAAAGCGUGGGGAUCAAA
Molecule: ribosomal RNA, 405 nt
Filed under: uncultured bacterium
Lineage: Bacteria
Description: bacterial SSU rRNA
Rfam family: Bacterial small subunit ribosomal RNA
Source: RNAcentral